GACGAACGCUGGCGGCGUGCCUAAUACAUGCAAGUCGAACGCACUCUCGUUUAGAUUGAAGGAGCUUGCUCCUGAUUGAUAAACAUUUGAGUGAGUGGCGGACGGGUGAGUAACACGUGGGUAACCUGCCCUAAAGUGGGGGAUAACAUUUGGAAACAGGUGCUAAUACCGCAUAAAACCUAACACCGCAUGGUGUAGGGUUGAAAGAUGGUUUCGGCUAUCACUUUAGGAUGGACCCGCGGUGCAUUAGUUAGUUGGUGAGGUAAAGGCUCACCAAGACCGUGAUGCAUAGCCGACCUGAGAGGGUAAUCGGCCACACUGGGACUGAGACACGGCCCAGACUCCUACGGGAGGCAGCAGUAGGGAAUCUUCCACAAUGGACGAAAGUCUGAUGGAGCAACGACCGCGUGAGUGAAGAAGGUUUCGGAUCGUAAAACUCUGUUGUUGGUAGAAGAAUGUAUCUGAUAGUAACUGAU
RNAcentral lists this ribosomal RNA (476 nucleotides) under uncultured bacterium. RNAcentral's name for it is "bacterial SSU rRNA". It matches the Rfam family "Bacterial small subunit ribosomal RNA", at positions 28 to 483 of the family's 1533-position model. The record is from RNAcentral.